Molecule: ribosomal RNA, 496 nt
Filed under: uncultured bacterium
Lineage: Bacteria
Description: partial 16S ribosomal RNA
Rfam family: Bacterial small subunit ribosomal RNA
Source: RNAcentral
GAUGAACGCUGGCGGCGUGCCUAAUACAUGCAAGUCGAGCGAACAGACGAGGAGCUUGCUCCUCUGACGUUAGCGGCGGACGGGUGAGUAACACGUGGAUAACCUACCUAUAAGACUGGGAUAACUUCGGGAAACCGGAGCUAAUACCGGAUAAUAUAUUGAACCGCAUGGUUCAAUAGUGAAAGACGGUUUUGCUGUCACUUAUAGAUGGAUCCGCGCCGCAUUAGCUAGUUGGUAAGGUAACGCUUACCAAGGCAACGAUGCGUAGCCGACCUGAGAGGGUGAUCGGCCACACUGGAACUGAGACACGGUCCAGACUCCUACGGGAGGCAGCAGUAGGGAAUCUUCCGCAAAGGGCGAAAGCCUGACGGAGCAACGCCGCGUGAGUGAUGAAGGUCUUCGGAUCGUAAAACUCUGUUAUUAGGGAAGAACAAAUGUGUAAGUAACUAUGCACGUCUUGACGGUACCUAAUCAGAAAGCCACGGCUAACUACGUG